UGCCGCUUGCGAGGGCGUAUGGUGGAUGCCUUGGCAGACAGUACCGAUGAAGGACGUUUGAGGAUGCGAUAAUCCUAGGGGAGCCUCCAACAUGGCUUUGAUCCUAGGGUCUCCGAAUGGGGGAACCCGCCGGCCGUCAUGGGCCGGCACCGCACAUUGUUGCGGGGGGUACGCAGGGAAGUGAAACAUCUCAGUACCUGCAGGAAGGGAUACUCCGUGAGUAGUGGCGAGCGAAAGCGGAUCAGACCAAACCGGUUGCGCGUGAUACCCGUCGGGGGUUGCGUUGCCGGUGUCGUGGGAUCACGUGUCCCGGUUCCGACGGGCCGGGCGGGAGUCAUAAAACGGCUUGCCAGGGGAACAGGCUUGAAGGCCUGGCCGUAGAGGGUGCCAGCCCCGUACCUGGACGUGAGCCGUCUUCCGAUCGUGUUGUCCCAAGUAGCGCGGGCCUCGUGGAAUCCCGCGUGAAUCAGCCCAGACCGUUGGGUAAGUCUAAGCAUACCUGUCUGACCGAUAGCGUACCAGUACCGUGAGGGAAAGGUGAAAAGCACCCCGGGAGGGGAGUGAAACAGUUCCUGAAACCGUGCGCCCACAAACCGUCGGAGCCUCUGUGUGGGGUGACGGCGUGCCUAUCGAAAAAUGAGUCUGCGAGUCAGUGGCAUGUGGCGAGCAUAAGCCGUGUGGCGUAUGCGUAGCGAAAGCGAGUCUUAAAAGGCGUUUUUAGUCGCUUGUCCUGGACCCGAAGCGGGAUGAUCUAGCCCUGGGCAGGUUGAAGCGCGGGUAAGACCGCGUGGAGGACCGAACCCACCUGGGUUGAAAACCGGGGGGAUGACCUGGGGCUAGGGGUGAAAGGCCAAUCAAAUUCCGUGAUAGCUGGUUCUCUCCGAAAUGCAUUUAGGUGCAGCGUCGGUCGAUUGCGUCGCGGGGGUAGAGCUACCGGAUGCUUGCGGGCCCUUGUUGGGUACCAACAGCAGCCGAACUCCGAAUACCGUUGACGUGUAUUCCGGCAGUGAGUCGGCGGGGGAUAAGCUCCGUCGUCGAGAGGGAGACAGCCCAGACCGUCGUCUAAGGUCCCGAAGCGUGUGCUAAGUGGGAAAGGAUGUGGAGUCGCAUAGACAGCCAGGAGGUUGGCUCAGAAGCAGCCAUCCUUGAAAGAGUGCGUAACAGCUCACUGGUCUAGUGGUUCCGCGCCGACAAUGUAGCGGGGCUCAAGCACACCACCGAAGACGCGGCAGCAAUCUUCAUGGUUGCUGGGUAGGAGAGCGUCCUGCAUGGGGCGAAGCGGCCGGGUAACCGUGCCGUGGACCGUGUGGGAGUGAGAAUGCAGACAUGAGUAGCGAGAGACGGGUGAGGAUCCCGUCCGCUGGAUGACCAAGGGUUCCGGGGCCACGUUCGUCGUCCCCGGGUGAGUCGGGUCCUAAGGCGAGGCCGACAGGCGUAGUCGAAUGGAUGAACGGGUGGAUAUUCCCGUACCGACCAUGGACCGGCAAAACCGAGACGGUGAGUACUAACCUCCGCCUCGUGGUGGUUCCUUCCUUCGGGUUGGUUCCGCCGCGUGGUGUUGGGAGCGUAGCCGCAGUAGGUCAGCGCAGGGGUGACACGGAAUGGGAGCCGGCCGCGGAGGUGGUUUUCCGUGGUCAAGCACGCAGCCAGUCAUGUAGGCAAAUCCGCAUGGCGCGCAUGGCGAGGUGUGAUGAUGGGAGCCUUUUGGGCUCGAUAUCCGGUUGUCCAGGCCGUCGAGAAAAGCCUCGGCGUGAGGGCCAUGGCCGCCCGUACCCCAAACCGACACUGGUGGUCAGGUAGAGAAUACCAAGGCGAUCGAGCGAAUCCUGGUCAAGGAACUCGGCAAAUCACUCCCGUGCCUUCGGUAUAAGGGAGACCCACUGGGGUGAAGGACCUUGCGUCCGGAGCUUUGGUGGGUGGCACAGACCAGGGGGUAGCGACUGUUUACCAAAAACACAGGUGCAUGCGAAGGCGAAAGCCGCUGUAUAUGCACUGACGCCUGCCCGGUGCCGGAAGGUUAAGAGGAUCCGUCAGCCUUCGGGUGAAGCGGUGAAUUCAAGCCCCGGUAAACGGCGGUGGUAACUAUAACCAUCCUAAGGUAGCGAAAUUCCUUGUCGGGUAAGUUCCGACCUGCACGAAUGGCGUAA
This 2147-nucleotide ribosomal RNA is filed under the name human gut metagenome. Its description in RNAcentral is "bacterial LSU rRNA". It matches the Rfam family "Bacterial large subunit ribosomal RNA", at positions 1 to 2004 of the family's 2925-position model. The record is from RNAcentral.